This 497-nucleotide ribosomal RNA is filed under the name uncultured bacterium. RNAcentral describes it as "partial 16S ribosomal RNA". It matches the Rfam family "Bacterial small subunit ribosomal RNA", at positions 29 to 507 of the family's 1533-position model. The record is from RNAcentral.
ACGAACGCUGGCGGCGUGCCUAAUACAUGCAAGUCGAGCGGACGAAUCGAAAGCUUGCUUUUGAUUCGUUAGCGGCGGACGGGUGAGUAACACGUGGGCAACCUGCCCUGUAGACGGGGAUAACACCGAGAAAUCGGUGCUAAUACCGGAUAACACGAAAUGUCGCAUGACGUUUCGUUGAAAGACGGCGCAAGCUGUCGCUACAGGAUGGGCCCGCGGCGCAUUAGCUAGUUGGUGAGGUAACGGCUCACCAAGGCGACGAUGCGUAGCCGACCUGAGAGGGUGGUCGGCCACACUGGGACUGAGACACGGCCCAGACUCCUACGGGAGGCAGCAGUAGGGAAUCUUCCGCAAUGGACGAAAGUCUGACGGAGCAACGCCGCGUGAGCGAAGAAGGCCUUCGGGUCGUAAAGCUCUGUUGUUAGGGAAGAACAAGUAACGCAGUAACUGGCGUUACCGUGACGGUACCUAACGAGAAAGCCACGGCUAACUACGUG